GUAAGUUUCAAAAUGCACCCAUCCUUUUAUUACUGACACCUUCAAAUAAAAUGCUCCCUCAAUGAAGCUUUCCCUCUGCAUUAAUCUGGUGAAAGAAAAACUGAAUGCUUGUGGGACAGUGGAAGUCUAUCACUGCUCAGCCCUUGCAGACUUCACUCUGCAUGCUCCCUGAUUUUGCUUCAUGACCACAAGAUGUCUCCUGUGAUCCAUGGAAAUAGCAAAAGCUGGCAGACAGGCUAAAGAAGUGUAGGAAAAAAAGGGAGCAGCCUCCAGGAAAUGCCUGAGAGGAGAUUCCUGAUGCAUGUCCCAUCUCCCACCCAAGAGAAGACAAUCCCAGAG
Long non-coding RNA from Lonchura striata (white-rumped munia), 339 nucleotides. RefSeq lists it as uncharacterized. The record is from RefSeq and is a predicted model, not a curated record. NCBI's taxonomy places the organism in Eukaryota, Metazoa, Chordata, Aves, Passeriformes, Estrildidae.